This 726-nucleotide ribosomal RNA is filed under the name uncultured bacterium. Its description in RNAcentral is "bacterial SSU rRNA". It matches the Rfam family "Bacterial small subunit ribosomal RNA", at positions 139 to 851 of the family's 1533-position model. The record is from RNAcentral.
GGGGAUAACACUUGGAAACAGGUGCUAAUACCGUAUAACACUAUUUUCCGCAUGGAAGAAAGUUGAAAGGCGCUUUUGCGCCACUGAUGGACGGACCCGCGGUGCAUUAGCUAGUUGGUGAGGUAACGGCUCACCAAGGCCACGAUGCAUAGCCGACCUGAGAGGGUGAUCGGCCACACUGGGACUGAGACACGGCCCAGACUCCUACGGGAGGCAGCAGUAGGGAAUCUUCGGCAAUGGACGAAAGUCUGACCGAGCAACGCCGCGUGAGUGAAGAAGGUUUUCGGAUCGUAAAACUCUGUUGUUAGAGAAGAACAAGGAUGAGAGUAAAACGUUCAUCCCUUGACGGUAUCUAACCAGAAAGCCACGGCUAACUACGUGCCAGCAGCCGCGGUAAUACGUAGGUGGCAAGCGUUGUCCGGAUUUAUUGGGCGUAAAGCGAGCGCAGGCGGUUUCUUAAGUCUGAUGUGAAAGCCCCCGGCUCAACCGGGGAGGGUCAUUGGAAACUGGGAGACUUGAGUGCAGAAGAGGAGAGUGGAAUUCCAUGUGUAGCGGUGAAAUGCGUAGAUAUAUGGAGGAACACCAGUGGCGAAGGCGGCUCUCUGGUCUGUAACUGACGCUGAGGCUCGAAAGCGUGGGGAGCGAACAGGAUUAGAUACCCUGGUAGUCCACGCCGUAAACGAUGAGUGCUAAGUGUUGGAGGGUUUCCGCCCUUCAGUGCUGCAG